Molecule: ribosomal RNA, 440 nt
Filed under: uncultured bacterium
Lineage: Bacteria
Description: partial 16S ribosomal RNA
Rfam family: Bacterial small subunit ribosomal RNA
Source: RNAcentral
CCUACGGGAGGCAGCAGUGGGGAAUAUUGCACAAUGGGGGAAACCCUGAUGCAGCGACGCCGCGUGAGUGAAGAAGUAUCUCGGUAUGUAAAGCCCUGUCAGCAGGGAAGAAAAUGACGGUACCUGACCAAGAAGCCCCGGCUAACUACGUGCCAGGAGCCGCGGUAAUACGUAGGGGGCAAGCGUUAUCCGGAUUUACUGGGCGUAAAGGGAGCGUAGACGGCAGGGCAAGUGUGGAGGGAAAGGCGGGGGCUCAACCCCCGGACUGCUCUGGAAACUGGCAGGCUGGAGUGCAGGAGGGGUAAGUGGAAUUCCUGGUGUAGCGGUGAAAUGCGUAGAUAUUAGGAGGAACACCAGUGGCGAAGGCGGCUUACUGGACUGUAACUGACGUUGAGGCUCGAAAGCGUGGGGAGCAAACAGGAUUAGAUACCCGUGUAGUC